Molecule: ribosomal RNA, 443 nt
Filed under: uncultured bacterium
Lineage: Bacteria
Description: partial 16S ribosomal RNA
Rfam family: Bacterial small subunit ribosomal RNA
Source: RNAcentral
CCUACGGGAGGCAGCAGUGGGGAAUAUUGGGCAAUGGGCGCAAGCCUGACCCAGCAACGCCGCGUGAAGGAAGAAGGCCCUCGGGUUGUAAACUUCUUUUAUUCGGGACGAAACAAAUGACGGUCACUAAGGAGCAAGCCACGGCUAACUACGUGCCAGCAGCCGCGGUAAUACGUAGGUGGCAAGCGUUGUCCGGAAUUACUGGGUGUAAAGGGAGCGUAGGCGGGCAGCCAAGUCAGCUGUGAAAACUACGGGCUUAACCUGUAGACUGCAGUUGAAACUGUCUUUCUUGAGUGAAGUAGAGGUGGGCGGAAUUCCGAGUGUAGCGGUGAAAUGCGUAGAUAUUCGGAGGAACACCGGUGGCGAAGGCGGCCAGCUGGGCUUUAACUGACGCUGAGGCGCGAAAGUGUGGGGAGCAAACAGGAUUAGAUACCCUUGUAGUC